This is a non-coding RNA of Crepidotus variabilis, 88 nucleotides long. NCBI's taxonomy places the organism in Eukaryota, Fungi, Basidiomycota, Agaricomycetes, Agaricales, Crepidotaceae. The record is from the annotation of a GenBank genome assembly.
UCUUUGUUAGUAUAUCGGUUAGUACACGCGCCUGUCAUUGAGCUUUGCAAGACCGCGCGAAAGCUGGGUUCGACUCCCAGACAGAGAG